GGAUCUGGAGGAUGAAAAAGGAGAGGGUGACAAAUCUGGGGGGUGGGCAAGAAAGGAAGGUUUUUUGUUUUUUUUCCUUCUUCUUUGGAGCAGAGGGCAUUCUCCAGUUUGACGGGGAGAGUGGGAUACACAGAAAAAGAGAGAAUUUAUCGUGGGCUUCGGGGUGAAUUAUAGGUGUAGAAAACAUUGCGUGUAAGGGAGAUUUCUCAGAAGUAUGUUUCAUUCUCUUUCCGAAUUCUCUUUUGGUCUCUUCAUUUACUCUUAAAGCUCAUUGAGAAUGCAUGAUUUGGAGCUUUGUUCACUACGCCUAUCAGAGUCUGGCCUAUUUUUACUGUCAUUCCUUUUUUCCUGUUUUCUUUCUUUUUCUGUAUUUCCUCCUUGUUUUGUGCAUUCCCCGUAUGUGCCUCCCCUGUGUGUGGGUUCGCAUUGAUUUCAAGUGUCACUGUUGAGGAAUUGGGUCUGAGAGCAGAAACCCCUAUUGGAACUUCAUUUACCGAUGCUCAUGCUGGCAAUGUAAAGUUCAAUUUCUUGAAUGGUUCGGAUCCCUACCAUGCAUACCUCCAACACCGCCUGUUUGAACUUCGCUCUCAGAAUCAGUCCUCUGCACAGCAGAUUCCUUCACAACUUGCAGAUUCUUUUGCUCCUGAAUCUACCCCAUCUGCUCCACCUGCCGACAAUAGUGAGACAUUGAUGAAGCCUGAGCCCUCGUCCCAGUUUAAACCAUUCCGCAAGGUUCUUGAGCCCCCCAGAGACUGAGCAAUGCGCUGUUCGUCUUCCAGAAGGGAUUACAGGGGAAGAGUUGGAUGUUAUUAAUCUCACAGCUCAAUUUGUGACACGAAAUGGGAAGUCUUUCUGGACAGAACUGACCGGCAGGGAGGUGAACACGCCCACGGUUCCAUUUUUGAAGCUCUCCAUGGAUGGCUCUCCAAGUUCGUAGUCCCUGAGGUUGAAUUCUGCUCACGAGGCAGAAGCUCAGCUCCGCCAUGCCGAGCCGAUGGGCCACCGCUGCUCAUAACCUGCCAUGAUUGGCUAUUUUUCUUACAGAAGUUGCCGGACGAGACUGUUUCCCGGGCCAUGAAAAGCCUUGGGAAGGAUAUAAAAGCUUUGUGGAUUCAUCAAGGGGAGGAACGACAACAAAAGAGGAAGGGGGACGGUCUUGCGAAAGAGCUUGACAGGAGGAUUCUAGCCUUCCAGAAGGCAGAGAACAGAGUCCUAGAGUUCAAGCUUUCAGAACAUAAAUCUGAGCCAAUCGCGCAGCUAGAGAUGGGUAUAUACCUGAGCACCCCAAAAACUGAGAAGUUAUCUGAGGAUGGUGAGAAUGGCAGGGUUAGAUAUGGUUCAUCAUCCAUGCAAGGAUGGCGCGCAACCAUGGAAGAUGCUCAUGCUGCAUACCCUGAUCUGGAUGCUUCCACUUCGUUUUUUUGGUGUUUGUGAUGGCUAUGGAGGUAAGGUAGUUGCAAAGUUUUGUGCCAAGUAUCUUCAACAACAGGUGCUCAAGAAUGAAGCAUAUACAGCUGGAGACUUGGGAACUUCAGUUCAAAAAUUCUUUUUCGGAAUGGAUAAGUUGAACGCGGGGAAAGCAAAGAUGAGAAAGGAAGCUUGGAAAGGAUUUCAGGGUUGCCGCAUUUGGGAGGUGGAACGAGGCCCUGCAUGGUGAUUUAGGUGCUGCCAGGUGUAAAUAGGCAGCAAGUUGGUGCAUUUCAUGGAGAAGUGGGGCUUCAUUACUUCACCUCCAGAAGCUGGUAGCGAACUAAUGACAUAAGGCGGUGUAAGCAAACGGAAUGACAAGUCAAGGGUGGCAUGGGAAUUUUCAUAAGUGGCAGGGCACUUCAAGUUUUCAGAAUAAAUAAGUGGCAGUGAAAUGAUGCAGUUGUGGUCUCA
Vitis riparia (riverbank grape) is the source of this 1881-nucleotide long non-coding RNA. RefSeq lists it as uncharacterized. NCBI's taxonomy places the organism in Eukaryota, Viridiplantae, Streptophyta, Magnoliopsida, Vitales, Vitaceae. The transcript has 2 exons. The record is from RefSeq and is a predicted model, not a curated record.